This 253-nucleotide ribosomal RNA is filed under the name uncultured bacterium. Its description in RNAcentral is "partial 16S ribosomal RNA". It matches the Rfam family "Bacterial small subunit ribosomal RNA", at positions 524 to 776 of the family's 1533-position model. The record is from RNAcentral.
UACGAAGGGGGCCAGCGUUGCUCGGAAUCACUGGGCGUAAAGGGUGCGUAGGCGGGUCUUUAAGUCAGGGGUGAAAUCCUGGAGCUCAACUCCAGAACUGCCUUUGAUACUGAGGAUCUUGAGUUCGGGAGAGGUGAGUGGAACUGCGAGUGUAGAGGUGAAAUUCGUAGAUAUUCGCAAGAACACCAGUGGCGAAGGCGGCUCUCUGGGACGGUACUGACGCUGAGACGCGAAAGCGUGGGGAGCGAACAGG